Molecule: unclassified non-coding RNA, 335 nt
Filed under: soil metagenome
Description: partial contains 5.8S ribosomal RNA, internal transcribed spacer 2, and large subunit ribosomal RNA
Rfam family: 5.8S ribosomal RNA (bases 1-120)
Source: RNAcentral
GAUGAAGAACGCAGCGAAAUGCGAUAAGUAAUGUGAAUUGCAGAAUUCAGUGAAUCAUCGAAUCUUUGAACGCACAUUGCGCCCCUUGGUAUUCCAUGGGGCAUGCCUGUUCGAGCGUCAUUUGUACCUUCAAGCUCUGCUUGGUGUUGGGUGUUUGUCUCGCCUUGCGCGUAGACUCGCCUUAAAACAAUUGGCAGCCGGCGUAUUGAUUUCGGAGCGCAGUACAUCUCGCGCUUUGCACUCAUAACGACGACGUCCAAAAGUACUUUUUACACUCUUGACCUCGGAUCAGGUAGGGAUACCCGCUGAACUUAAGCAUAUCAAUAAGCGGAGGA